Long non-coding RNA from Drosophila serrata, 1021 nucleotides. RefSeq lists it as uncharacterized. The record is from RefSeq and is a predicted model, not a curated record. NCBI's taxonomy places the organism in Eukaryota, Metazoa, Arthropoda, Insecta, Diptera, Drosophilidae.
UAGGCUUUCUUUUUGGCUGCCAGGAAGACAUUAUACACUUCAAAACAAAAUUAAUUAAAGCCGAAAUUCAAACUAAAUCAUAUACACAGAACCAAAAAUUUAAAAGAUUUUCCCUAAAACAAAAGUGAGGCAAAAUGGUGCGGAGACGACGGCCUAAGAGAUCCAGGAGAACUGCCGAAUUGGAUCCAUUGAGGGAAUUCCUUGAACCCUAUUUGGUCGAUGAUCCUGAACUUCAGGAAUUACUGCCGGAGAUUUUGCGUAUGCUUCAUGAAAUUCCCGAUGCAGCAUAGUUCAUAAUUUCCCACAAAUUUGCUUUCCUCUUUUUAUAGAGUACACACAAAACUACUUUCGAUGUCGCCAUUAGCAGACUUUUCUUGGUUUGGAAAAUUUUUGUGCAGUUCGGACGUUUGUUGAGCACCAGGGGGGAGGCGGGAUGGAGGCUCGGCUGGAAGGUUAUAUAAUAACAGGCCAUGGAGAGAAGCUACCGCCACAGCAUCUGUCUUUGGGUGCAAUCAACCUGAAAUUGGAAUGCCAUGCGAUUGGAAUUCGUUACCAAAUAUUGAUGACAGUAAUAGCCCCAGGAGCAUGCCGCCAAGUCUUUUUUCUGAGCGUUAGGAAUCACUUUACAUAAUCGUUGAAGAGAAGCUACUACUGAAGCCGCCAAUAAAAUCCGCGAAACUACCAAGUUACGCAGACUCCAAAUUGGGAGAAAAACGCCCCACAAAUUGCGACUUGUUGCCGCCGCCUCCGCCGCCGUUGGCCUAAUUACAGUAGUUGGCCAAAAGCCUAUGUGGGUUGGAUGCUGUUGGCAUGGGCGAGAGAGCGUGGGCGUGGGCGAUAUCCAGGCGCCACAAUUAAGAUGCGGUUCCAAAAGCGCCACCUUUCACGGGAAUGCCUCAAGGGGCAGGCUGGCUAACUGUCUGGUGGUUUUCUUUAACCUCAAUGUUCUCUGAUUUUGGCGAAAACAAUGUGUACCUUCAUUAAUUUUGAUUUAAUUAAAUACAGGUCGUGUUUAGAAUUA